RNAcentral lists this transfer RNA (96 nucleotides) under Dorea longicatena. RNAcentral's name for it is "tRNA-Cys(gca)". Lineage: Bacteria; Bacillati; Bacillota; Clostridia; Lachnospirales; Lachnospiraceae. The record is from RNAcentral.
GUUACACUUUGGUUACAGCUUAAAUGAAGAGGCCGCAACCUCCUUUCUAUCAAGGGUUAUUUUGAUGCCGUACCGGUUCGAUUCCGGUCUGCGGCA